Molecule: ribosomal RNA, 746 nt
Filed under: Salmonella enterica
Lineage: Bacteria; Pseudomonadati; Pseudomonadota; Gammaproteobacteria; Enterobacterales; Enterobacteriaceae
Description: bacterial SSU rRNA
Rfam family: Bacterial small subunit ribosomal RNA
Source: RNAcentral
CUGGUAGUCCACGCCGUAAACGAUGUCUACUUGGAGGUUGUGCCCUUGAGGCGUGGCUUCCGGAGCUAACGCGUUAAGUAGACCGCCUGGGGAGUACGGCCGCAAGGUUAAAACUCAAAUGAAUUGACGGGGGCCCGCACAAGCGGUGGAGCAUGUGGUUUAAUUCGAUGCAACGCGAAGAACCUUACCUGGUCUUGACAUCCACAGAACUUUCCAGAGAUGGAUUGGUGCCUUCGGGAACUGUGAGACAGGUGCUGCAUGGCUGUCGUCAGCUCGUGUUGUGAAAUGUUGGGUUAAGUCCCGCAACGAGCGCAACCCUUAUCCUUUGUUGCCAGCGGUCCGGCCGGGAACUCAAAGGAGACUGCCAGUGAUAAACUGGAGGAAGGUGGGGAUGACGUCAAGUCAUCAUGGCCCUUACGACCAGGGCUACACACGUGCUACAAUGGCGCAUACAAAGAGAAGCGACCUCGCGAGAGCAAGCGGACCUCAUAAAGUGCGUCGUAGUCCGGAUUGGAGUCUGCAACUCGACUCCAUGAAGUCGGAAUCGCUAGUAAUCGUGGAUCAGAAUGCCACGGUGAAUACGUUCCCGGGCCUUGUACACACCGCCCGUCACACCAUGGGAGUGGGUUGCAAAAGAAGUAGGUAGCUUAACCUUCGGGAGGGCGCUUACCACUUUGUGAUUCAUGACUGGGGUGAAGUCGUAACAAGGUAACCGUAGGGGAACCUGCGGUUGGAUCACCUCCUUA